This 380-nucleotide ribosomal RNA is filed under the name uncultured eukaryote. RNAcentral's name for it is "SSU rRNA". It matches the Rfam family "Eukaryotic small subunit ribosomal RNA", at positions 587 to 972 of the family's 1831-position model. The record is from RNAcentral.
AGCUCCAAUAGCGUAUGUUAAAGUUGUUGCGGCUAAAAAGCUCGUAGUUGGAUUUCUGUUGAGAACGAGUGGUCCGCUCUAUGAGCGUGCAUCUACUUUGGUCUCGGCAUCCGUUCUUCUGUUGUACUGUGCUUGAUUGCAUGGUGCAGUGGUAGAACCUUUUACUUUGAGGAAAUUAGAGUGUUCACGGCAGGCAGUCGCCUUGAAUAUAUUAGCAUGGAAUAAUAACAUAGGAUCUUGGUUCUAUUUUGUUGGUUUCUAGAGCUAGGAUAAUGAUUAAUAGGGACAAUUGGGGGCAUUCGUAUUGCGGUGUCAGAGGUGGAAUUCUUGGAUUACUGCACGACGAACUACUGCGAAAGCAUUUGCCAAGGAUGUUUUCA